Molecule: ribosomal RNA, 497 nt
Filed under: uncultured bacterium
Lineage: Bacteria
Description: partial 16S ribosomal RNA
Rfam family: Bacterial small subunit ribosomal RNA
Source: RNAcentral
GAUGAACGCUGGCGGCGUGCCUAAUACAUGCAAGUCGAGCGAACGGACGAGAAGCUUGCUUCUCUGAUGUUAGCGGCGGACGGGUGAGUAACACGUGGAUAACCUACCUAUAAGACUGGGAUAACUUCGGGAAACCGGAGCUAAUACCGGAUGAUAUUUUGAACCGCAUGGUUCAAAAGUGAAAGACGGUCUUGCUGUCACUUAUAGAUGGAUCCGCGCUGCAUUAGCUAGUUGGUAAGGUAACGGCUUACCAAGGCAACGAUGCAUAGCCGACCUGAGAGGGUGAUAGGCCACACUGGAACUGAGACACGGACCAGACUCCUACGGGAGGCAGCAGUAGGGAAUCUUCCGCAAUGGGCGAAAGCAUGACGGAGCAACGCAGCGUGAGUGAUGAAGGUCUUCGGAUCGUAAAACUCUGUUAUUAGGGAAGAACAUAUGUGUAAGUAACUGUGCACAUCUUGACGGUACCUAAUCAGAAAGCCACGGCUAACUACGUG